This 329-nucleotide ribosomal RNA is filed under the name uncultured eukaryote. RNAcentral's name for it is "partial 18S ribosomal RNA". It matches the Rfam family "Eukaryotic small subunit ribosomal RNA", at positions 1470 to 1796 of the family's 1831-position model. The record is from RNAcentral.
CCCUUAGAUGUUCUGGGCCGCACGCGCGCUACAAUGAUGAAUUCAACGAGUUUAUAACCUUGGUUGAAAAGCCUGGGUAAUCUUUUGAACUUUCGUCGUGAUGGGGCUAGACCCUUGCAAUUAUUGGUCUCCAACGAGGAAUUCCUAGUAAACGCAAGUCAUCAGCUUGCAUUGAUUACGUCCCUGCCCUUUGUACACACCGCCCGUCGCACCUACCGAUUGAAUGGUCCGGUGAAAUCUUCGGAUUGAGACUUUGAUUUCUUCACGGAAGACGCUGUUUUAAAAAGUUGAUUAAACCUUACCAUUUAGAGGAAGGUGAAGUCGUAACA